Molecule: long non-coding RNA, 2000 nt
Organism: Gallus gallus (chicken)
Lineage: Eukaryota; Metazoa; Chordata; Aves; Galliformes; Phasianidae
Source: Ensembl
UUUCCUUCCCAGACCCGAAAAGCCCCACCACUGAGCCCCAUUGCUGGGCCCUGGCGCAGGGCAGUUUGGUGUAUACAACACCGGAUGUAUGGAACGUGGCAGCUCCCCCUGAGAGCAGCCAAGUGUGAAAAAGAGUGAGUGUGAGCCAGGAGGAGAGAAAGCACUGGGGGGAGAGGGGCCAAGCAAAGCAUACUCGGCUCAGGGAGGCUCUGCAGUGGUGAGCACAGAGGAUGAGUAACCCCAUGUGCAUGCAACACCAUGAACGUGAGCAAGGGAGGUGAGUGCCCAAGAGCAAGGCAAGCAUGAGCAGUAGGAAAACAUCCACCCUCCCCCAGCCUUCUGGGGUGGGCCUGGCAUUGUCUGCUAGCAUGCAAUCCGUGGGGCUGCAACAGCACACGGGUGGGGUGGUGCUGGGGGAGCAGCAUCCAGGCAGGUGCUCUGUCGUAGGGCUGGGGCUCUGCCAUAGGGUGAGGGCUUUGCCAUGGGGCAAGGGCUCUGCCAUGGGGUGGGAGCUCUGCUAUGGAGCUGGAGCUGUGUCAUAGGGUGUGGGCUCCUCCAUAGGGCUCUGCCAUAGGGUGGGGGCUCUGCCAUGGAACAGGGGCUCUACGAUGGGCCAGGGCUCUGCCUUGGCAUGGGGGCUCUACCAUGGUGCAAGAGCUCUGCCAUGGGGCAGGGGUUUUGCCAUGGGGAAAGGGCUCUGCUGUGGAGUGGAGGGCUUUGCCAUGAGGCCAGGGGCCCUGCCAUGGGACAGAGGCUCUACUAUGGGCCAGGGCUCUGCCAUGGAAUGGGGCAAAUCGGUGGAGUUGCACACACAGCUCAGGAGGAUGCAGACACACCCGGCGCUGUGCAGAGGGGCUCAUAGUGCAGCACUGCGCUCACUUCCUGCUCCACUCUCUGCAAAGGUCAGAGCAGAAGCGAGAUGCAAAUGUUGGCGAGUGGGAAGCAGCAGGAAGCACUGAGCCGGGAGGAGGAAGGGCCCAUCUGCUCCCUGCGGUCUGCAGCCAGGAGGGAGGAUGGCAGAGAGCACCCGGGGGGGGGGGGGGGGGGGGGGGGGGGGGCAGGAAGAGUUGGGGCUGUCCAACCCUGCAGGGCAUCCCACCACCAGGCUGGGAAAAUGGGUUUGACAGAGGAGCCGAGAGGACUGCAGCUGCUCUUCCCAGGAGGAAAGAGCUCCUGGCUGUGGCCAUGGGAGGGCAGUGGGAGCAGAGGGGCAGCAGAGUUCAGCAGCUGGGGGGGCUCAGAAGGGAAGCGUGAUGGAGAACUUCACUCCAGUGCCUGGUCCCUAGGAAUAGAAUCAGAGAAUCAUGGGAUGGUUUGGGCUGGAAGGGACCUUCAAGAUCAUGGAAUCAUGGGAUGCUUUGGGCUGGAAGGGGCCUUCAAGAUCAUGGAAACAUGGGAUGGUUUAGGUUGGAAGGGACCUUCAAGAUCAUGGAAUCAUGGGAUGGUUUGGGUUGGCUUGGAACCUGUCAGACCACCUCAUUGCAACCCCCUGCUGUAGGCAGGGACACCUCUCACCAGCCCAGGCUGCUCACAGCCCCGUGCCAGGUCCUGGCAGGACACUAUAAGGUCCCCCUGGCGCCUUCUCUUCUCCAUGCUGAAUAUCCCCAGCUCUCUGGCCCUGUCCCAGUAGUGGAGGUACUACAGCCUUGUGAUCAUCUUCGUGGUCCUCCUCUGUACCCUCUCAAACAGCUCCAUGUUCUUUUGUUGGGGGCCCAGGUGGGGUCUCACGAGAGCAAAGCAGAGGGGCAGAACCCCCCCGAUUUACUGGUCACACUUCUCUUGAUGCAGUCCAUGAUCUGGUUGGCCUUCUGUGCUGUGAGCACACACUGCCAGCUCACGUUGUGUCUUUCACCCACCAACACCCCCAAAUCCUUCUCCUCAGUGCUCCCCUCAAGCCAUUCUCUGCCCAACCUGCAUCUGUGCUUGGGAUUGCCCCGACCCAGGUGCAGCACCUUGCACUUGGCCUUGCUGAAUUCCAUGAGGUUGGCAUGGGCUCCCCC